Molecule: ribosomal RNA, 572 nt
Filed under: Trichoderma asperellum
Lineage: Eukaryota; Fungi; Ascomycota; Sordariomycetes; Hypocreales; Hypocreaceae
Description: eukaryotic LSU rRNA
Rfam family: 5.8S ribosomal RNA (bases 182-335)
Source: RNAcentral
GGUUAAGCUCACUCCCAACCCAAUGUGAACGUUACCAAACUGUUGCCUCGGCGGGGUCACGCCCCGGGUGCGUCGCAGCCCCGGAACCAGGCGCCCGCCGGAGGAACCAACCAAACUCUUUCUGUAGUCCCCUCGCGGACGUAUUUCUUACAGCUCUGAGCAAAAAUUCAAAAUGAAUCAAAACUUUCAACAACGGAUCUCUUGGUUCUGGCAUCGAUGAAGAACGCAGCGAAAUGCGAUAAGUAAUGUGAAUUGCAGAAUUCAGUGAAUCAUCGAAUCUUUGAACGCACAUUGCGCCCGCCAGUAUUCUGGCGGGCAUGCCUGUCCGAGCGUCAUUUCAACCCUCGAACCCCUCCGGGGGAUCGGCGUUGGGGAUCGGGACCCCUCACACGGGUGCCGGCCCCGAAAUACAGUGGCGGUCUCGCCGCAGCCUCUCCUGCGCAGUAGUUUGCACAACUCGCACCGGGAGCGCGGCGCGUCCACGUCCGUAAAACACCCAACUUUCUGAAAUGUUGACCUCGGAUCAGGUAGGAAUACCCGCUGAACUUAAGCAUAUCAAAAGCCGGAAAGAA